CCAAUAGCGUAUAUUAAAGUUGUUGCAGUUAAAAAGCUCGUAGUUGAAUUGCGGGAUCAUCAGGUUGGUCGUGCCUUCGGUAUGUACUUGCUUCGGUGGUCCCUCCUUCUUGAAGAACCGUAAUGCCAUUAAUUUGUUGUUGCGGGGAAACAGGACUGUUACUUUGAAAAAAUUAGAGUGUUUAAAGCAGGCAAUCGCUUGAAUACAUUAGCAUGGAAUAAUGAAAUAGGACGUUCGAUCCUAUUUUGUUGGUUUCUAGGAUUGACGUAAUAUUUAAUAGGGAUAGUUGGGGGCAUUAGUAUUCAAUUGUCAGAGGUGAAAUUCUUGGAUUUAUUGAAGACUAACUACUGCGAAAGCAUUUGCCAAGGAUGUUUUCAUUAAUCAAGCACGAAAGUUAGGGGAUCGAAGACGAUCAGAUACCGUCGUAGUCUUAACCAUAAACUAUGCCGACUAGGGAUCGGAUGAUGUUAAUUUUUUAAUGACUCAUUCGGCGCCUUACG
Molecule: ribosomal RNA, 500 nt
Filed under: uncultured Glomeromycotina
Lineage: Eukaryota; Fungi; Glomeromycota
Description: partial small subunit ribosomal RNA
Rfam family: Eukaryotic small subunit ribosomal RNA
Source: RNAcentral